This is a long non-coding RNA of Anthonomus grandis grandis, 2863 nucleotides long. RefSeq lists it as uncharacterized. NCBI's taxonomy places the organism in Eukaryota, Metazoa, Arthropoda, Insecta, Coleoptera, Curculionidae. The record is from RefSeq and is a predicted model, not a curated record. The transcript is spliced from 2 exons.
UCUGCCAACACUACGGAUAAACAUAAACAGAAAAACAGAAGGAAACAGGAGUAAAUCCGUCCUUCACUGCUUCAUUUAUAUUAAUUCAUGUGGUAUCUUUUUGAUUAAAUUAAAUUUAUUUCAUAGCAUUCUUCGAUACGGGAGGGAUACGAUAGAUACUGCAUAAAACUCAAACGGAUCGGACCAUAUCGUACGUUAAAGUACCGGUACAAAAUACCGAGUAUCGGAAGAAAAAAUACUGGUACUCGAGAAAAUCGUAUCGUAUCGCACAUCCUUACACCACGCGACGUGCGCGCCGGUAAACAAUAACAACCUAACGUAAAAUAGUUUAUAAACAAACGUUUUAUUAGUGUGUUGACUAAUGGUGAGGUUUAUUACUGCAAUAAUUCUAUUUUAUAGUGGAUUUUGGGAGUUUCUGGUGGUUAGUAAUUGAUUAAAGGAUCCACAAGGUUAGCUUGUUAAAAUGGAAGUAGUUGUAAGAUGGCAAACGGAAAAUGUCGUUUUAAUUAGCCAAAUAGAGUGUGUCAAUAAAUCAGAUACGGUAGUGAAAAUGGGUACUGAAAUAAAAAUGUAUUGGAAGCCGCAUAAGAAAUGGUAUUUCGGAACAGUGAUUGCGAUCGAAAAUAGCUUCACUAGUAGUGAUAGCGACUCUGAUGAUAUUCCAUUAAAUUUGUUGUCUAAAAACUCAUUAGGCGAUAGCGAAGAAGAUCUUCCGCUUCAGAAGUUAAGAGAGAAGCUUACUGGUGCAAAUAGCAUUCCACUCAAGAUUGCAGCUAGUGUUGAAGUGGAAAAACCGAGGGAAAAACCUAAAGAAAAUACAAUACCUCUCAGUAAUGAGAAAGUUUUUGGUAUUAGCAAUGAACUGUUCUCCGACUCCGAACCGUGCGAAUUUCAAGAUAAUUCGGAUAAAGAUCCGAUAUACAUUCGGCACUGUGAAGUUCCACAUUGCAGAGAAACAGAUGAGGUAUUUGCUGCGUGUCCAAAUUGCCUGCGCUUAUUGUGUUGGACUCAUUUCUCCGAGGAUGGUACGUGUCAGCGCAUGCAUGAGCUUCCUGUAGUCAGCUUAAUAGAAGAGAUUUCAGAAGUACCAGAGGACUUCACAGUUGAUGGAAAUUCUAAGGUAAUCUGUCUCAUAGAUUUGACUGAACACAAGAAGGAAAAUUAAAAAAAAGUUGCUUUCCAUCUUAGAAAUCUAGGUGUAGCAUAUUUUAGUUAUAAUAGUAAAAAGCAAAUACCUGCCAGGAAGGUUCUUCGACCCAGGUGUAGUGGUUCUUUUUGUAAUAAAGUAGGGAAAAAAUGUUUAAUAGUAACAGAUGAAGAACGUCACAACAUUCUAAAUGACUUUUAUGGGACUGGAAAUUUACAACUUCAGAGGGAAUUUGUAGCUCGGUUUGUAAAGCGUAGAGAUACCAAACAGAAAACAACAGAAAAAGGCCAUGUUUCUAGACGGGAAAAAAGUAACUAUUACUUUUUGCCGGGGAAUGACUCAAUACCAAUACCUGUGUGCAAAACAAUGUUUCUUAAUACUAUAGGCAUUACUGAUAAAUUUGUAUGUAAUACCUUAGCCAAAUUACAAGAAACUGGUAUUAUUGACAAAGACAAACGUGGAGGUAGAUGUUCAAAUUUAAAAAAAACAUGAUAAAUAUAUUCGACAGCUUAUAUUAGAACAUAUUAAAAGAUUUCCUCGGAUGGAAUCGCACUAUUGCCGAAAAAACUCCAAGCGUGAAUAUCUUCACCCUGAUCUUACAAUUAAAAAAAUUUAUUAAAAAGAGUAUACCAGCAGCAUGUAGCCGAAAAAGAGUGUGUUCGGAGUAAGAAGCAGCAAGAAAAAAACGAUCCAGACAUUUCCAAAGUAUGUGCUGUAUUCGAUCUCCAACAAGUAAUUUUUUUACCUAUUACCAACGAGAACAAGUUAUUUUAUAAACGUAGAUUAGCGAACUAUAACUUCACUAUAUUUACAAUAUUAAAUCUAAGGAGUGUCAUUGUUUUUUAUGGCAUAAGGGUUUGAGUAAGCGGGGUUCUAGUGAAAUUUCUACUUGCUUGUAUAUCUACCUUAACGAACUUGACCAAAAAGGCACAAAAAAUGUUUCUUUGUUUUCUGAUGGCUGUAGCAGCCAGAACAAAAAUUCCAUUGUAGCAUCUAUGUUAUUACAUAUGGUGAGCUCAUCAGAAAACAUAGAAACCAUUUCACUGCGAUUUUUUGAGCCAUAUCAUGGUCAAAGUGAGGGUGAUUCUGCACAUAGUGCGAUUGAUAACGCAAUUAAAAAAAAUCUGGUGAUUUAUUUGUACCCUCACAGCUAAAACCGAUAUUAAGAUUAGCAAGGCGCCAAAAUCUUUAUAUUGUGCAUUCUCUUACAUCCAAUGAUUUUCUAAAUUUUAAAGAGCUGUCAAAAAAUUUGAACAUUCUUUCAGUAAGAAAAGACGAUGACGGAAAUCCUAUCGACUGGAAAAUUAUUCGCGAAAUAAUGUUGAAAAAAGAAACCAUUGACAAAAUUUAUUUUAAAAGCAGUCACCUACAAAUUGAUUAUCAAUGUGUCACACUAAAACGCACUGCUAUGCAAGCUAAAUUUGCUCCACCCCGCUUAAAUUAUCCCUCUGGGCCCAAAAUUUCCUCUGAAAAGUUUAACGAACUUAAUGAGCUUGUGAUAAAACUUCCCGAGCAUGUAAGGUUUUACAAGGAAUUACCACACUAACAAACAUUUAUUAUUAAAAGUUUAAGUCAAUACUAACUUGUAAGAUUUGUUGUUGUGUUUUUUUUUUAUUUUAGAAUUCUGUUUUUCAGUUUAGAUCUAUGAUCUGUAUAGACUCAAAGAAAAAAAAAUUGUCAUUUAUUAAUAAAACAAACUUGAUGUUAAUGAGAAAA